Molecule: non-coding RNA, 863 nt
Organism: Arachis ipaensis
Lineage: Eukaryota; Viridiplantae; Streptophyta; Magnoliopsida; Fabales; Fabaceae
Source: RefSeq, a predicted model, not a curated record
AGGAAGCUGUCUUGCCCAAGUCUCCCUCCUGCAGAAUCCGAGCAAGCAUUGAAUACAUGAGGUUAUGUCACAGAUUGGCCAAAAGCAACAAGAAAGCCAUUUCGCACAUAUUGCAUCUAAAUCUUGGAGGUGCGCAGUUUUGAAAAACUUGGGCAGAAUGUAUUGUCUUACAGGAACAAGAAGCAUGAUCAUAAGAGGGAACAGAACCCCAGCAAUUGGAAUCCAUGUGAUACCAAAACAAACAAUCAAGUACACAGUCUGGAAGAUCGUGAAUGCUGCAAUUCUUGUGAAAGGUACUGUUUCAAUUGAAAAUUAGCAAAAUGCGUUCCCAGAACUGGUUCCCGGGUAAGUUCUCGAUGGCCAUGAAUGCAAAAUAACCACAGAGUACAGAAGUUGGAAUCGUUUUCAGGAAUGGCAUUGCUGCUAUACAUCCUCCUACCAUCAAAGAUUGGAGUAAGUUGCUCACUCUUUGUUCUUUGACCUCGAUAGGCAAGAUGUCUUCGAUUUCCUUUUCGACAUCAAAUACUGACUCAUCAAUUGCAGCAUUCAUACUCUCCAUGCUUGAUGUCAAUUGAAUCGUCGACUCUUUCAACUCUUUUAACCCCUGCCAAAACAAUAAAAUGAAGAUUAUUCAUGCCAUUGGUGAGACAGUAAGGGUAACUAACAAAAGACAACGAUUCUGCAUACUCGAGAAGACUCCUGGUGAACUAGAGGGGUUUGCAUCUGCUGCUGAAGCUCUACAAAGCAAGAAAACUGGUAAGCUGCAUAUCUACCUGGUGCUUUAGUGUAGCUAAGCUUUUGGUAUGCAUUGGAGAUUGUGGAAUCACACCAUUUGAUGGGGGAAUUCCAAUUAGACCACAUAA